CGUAAAUGUCUUGGCUUUACGUUUUUGUGCACUGAUGAUGAUUUUUUUCUUAUUCUGUUGUUUUUAAAAGAAAAGCAAUA
This 80-nucleotide unclassified non-coding RNA is filed under the name soil metagenome. RNAcentral's name for it is "partial internal transcribed spacer 1". The record is from RNAcentral.